Molecule: ribosomal RNA, 274 nt
Filed under: uncultured bacterium
Lineage: Bacteria
Description: partial 16S ribosomal RNA
Rfam family: Bacterial small subunit ribosomal RNA
Source: RNAcentral
AUACGGGGGGGGCUAGCGUUGUUCGGAAUUAUUGGGCGUAAAGGGCGCGUAGGCGGCUUGGCAAGUCGGAUGUGAAAUCCCUCGGCUCAACCGAGGAACUGCAUCCGAUACUGCAGGGCUAGAGUCCGGGAGAGGGUAGUGGAAUUCCCAGUGUAGCGGUGAAAUGCGUAGAUAUUGGGAGGAACACCAGUGGCGAAGGCGGCUACCUGGACCGGUACUGACGCUGAGGCGCGAAAGCGUGGGGAGCAAACAGGAUUAGAAACCCCGGUAGUCC